GUAAGUUGUGGGAAGCAGGCGGGGUAGGAGUGGGGGUGCGGGCGGUGUUCGGAAUGAUUGGGGGUAAAGCGCUGGUAGGCGGGCUGUCAAGUCGCGUGUGAAAGCUCCAGGCUCAACCUGGAAAGUGCGCGCGAAACUGGCGGACUUGGAGUGUCGGAGAGGGUGGCGGAAUUCCCGGUGUAGAGGUGAAAUGCGUAGAUAUCGGGAGGAACACCAGAGGCGAAGGCGGCCACCUGGACGAGCACUGACGCUGAGAAGCGAAAGCGUGGGGAGCAAACAGGAUUAGAUACCCUUGUAGUC
Molecule: ribosomal RNA, 300 nt
Filed under: uncultured Olsenella sp.
Lineage: Bacteria; Bacillati; Actinomycetota; Coriobacteriia; Coriobacteriales; Atopobiaceae
Description: partial 16S ribosomal RNA
Rfam family: Bacterial small subunit ribosomal RNA
Source: RNAcentral